Molecule: microRNA precursor, 97 nt
Filed under: Chlorocebus sabaeus (green monkey)
Lineage: Eukaryota; Metazoa; Chordata; Mammalia; Primates; Cercopithecidae
Description: miRNA (ENSCSAG00000025571.1)
Rfam family: mir-3193 microRNA precursor family (bases 21-72)
Source: RNAcentral
UCUCCCCCCAACCCCAGGGCUCCUGGGUAGGAUCUGAGGAGUGGAAUCUCAUUCCCCAGCUCCUGAGCAGGAUAAAUAUGUCAUUGGCAAUGGCCUA